AACGUAGGGGACAAGCGUUAUCCGGAUUUACUGGGCGUAAAGCGCCCGUAGGCGGCUUGAUAAGUUGGACGUGAAAGCUCCCGGCUUAACUGGGAGAGGCCGUUCAAAACUAUCGAGCUAGAGUGAGGCAGAGGAGCGCGGAAUUCCCGGUGUAGUGGUGGAAUGCGUAGAUAUCGGGAGGAACACCAGUGGCGAAAGCGGCGCUCUGGGCCUAAACUGACGCUGAGGGGCGAAAGCGUGGGGAGCGAACGGG
This 253-nucleotide ribosomal RNA is filed under the name uncultured prokaryote. RNAcentral's name for it is "partial 16S ribosomal RNA". It matches the Rfam family "Bacterial small subunit ribosomal RNA", at positions 524 to 776 of the family's 1533-position model. The record is from RNAcentral.